AGCGAACGUUAGCGGCGCGCCUAACACAUGCAAGUCGCACGAGAAAGGGGGGCAACCCCCGGUACAGUGGCGCACGGGUGAGUAACACGUGGAUGACCUGCCCUGGAGUGGUGGAUAACCUUCCGAAGGAGGGCUAAUACAGCAUGAGACCACGCGCCUGCGGGCGUGGGGUCAAAGUGGGCCUCUAUUUAUAAGCCCACGCUCGAGGAGGGGUCCGCGGCCCAUCAGCUAGUUGGGAGGUAACGGCUCACCAAGGCAUCGACGGGUAGCUGGUCUGAGAGGAUGGCCAGCCACACUGGGAACUGAGACACGGUCCAGACUCCUACGGGAGGCAGCAGUGGGAAUCUUGCGCAAUGGGCGAAAGCCUGACGCAGCGACGCCGCGUGGGUGACGAAGGCC
This 399-nucleotide ribosomal RNA is filed under the name uncultured bacterium. RNAcentral's name for it is "bacterial SSU rRNA". It matches the Rfam family "Bacterial small subunit ribosomal RNA", at positions 30 to 416 of the family's 1533-position model. The record is from RNAcentral.